Phalacrocorax carbo (great cormorant) is the source of this 657-nucleotide non-coding RNA. NCBI's taxonomy places the organism in Eukaryota, Metazoa, Chordata, Aves, Suliformes, Phalacrocoracidae. The record is from RefSeq and is a predicted model, not a curated record.
UACAGGAAAAAAAGUAUACCUACAAGUUUAUGGUUUGCAGGUCAUUGUCAUCUACCCUACUUCCACCUGCCAUAAUAAAUUCUGGUGAAAUAUCUACUCCUGAGUACUGAACUUAAAGAUUUUUUUUCCCAAGCCUUCAAUAUUUACCACCUUGUGCCAGAUUACAUCAUGUAACCUUCAACAAUGUUGUGACAUUUUUUUGGUUGAUGGGACGUAGAGGAGCAGGGGACCACAUCCGCCUGAAAUUUCUUUGAUGUUCCCCACAGGAAGUUUUUCAAUAUUUGAUCACUUGGAUGUUUUUGGGGUAUUUCAUUGUGGUCAAGACCUAGGACAACCGCCUGCUAUUUCUGCAAGUGGGUGAUGAGAAAGGUGGUCCUGUUCAUUCUGCUCUGCAAAGCUUCCAGCUGCAGGGAGCAGCCGUGGUGAGCAGCGGCAGGGACGCUGCUGAGCACAGGCUCCAGCGAGAGCCUGCAGGACAGUGCCAUGGCUUCUUCCAUGCUGAAUUCAGUGGGCCUCUGGAAAAUAAUGUUCAGUUCAAGUGCCAAGAACAACCCCUUGUCCUGUGCUGUGAAAGAGUUAAUAGGCGCUGAGCUAGAGGUUGCUGCUCUUCAAUAGUGAGUGAAUCUGCUACGUACCUUUGAAGAAACCAGCACAGAA